UUGUCUAUCGCAAAUAAAGAAAUAUCCAAAAAUUAAUAAAAACAAAAACAAUAUUGUUGUCCAUUCAUCUAGCUACGUUCGUGGCUAAAGUGUUCAAUCGAUAAUAUGGAACAAAUUCUACAUUGUAAAUAGUAAAAACAUAUGGAAUAUUCAAAAGUGAACAAGAACCCCCCAGCUUAUGAACCGAAUUCAUCCAACAACACCACACAACUGUGAAAUUAAACGCGGAGAGAGUGGAUGGAGAGAAAGAGUGGCGGCGAGAACGCUAUUACAUUUAUUGUAUUCGUUUUGUGUUUUUGAUAGCUGUGCCGCUGUUGCUUAAAGAUGCUUAGCCAUUUGUUUUUUGGCAAUAGCGGGGAAUAUUCCGCCGAAAUGUUUAUAAAGACAUGAAUAAAUGCUCUGUAAAUAAUCCUA
Musca domestica (house fly) is the source of this 414-nucleotide long non-coding RNA. RefSeq lists it as uncharacterized. The record is from RefSeq and is a predicted model, not a curated record. The transcript is spliced from 2 exons. Lineage: Eukaryota; Metazoa; Arthropoda; Insecta; Diptera; Muscidae.